Molecule: ribosomal RNA, 282 nt
Filed under: uncultured Chloroflexota bacterium
Lineage: Bacteria; Bacillati; Chloroflexota
Description: uncultured Chloroflexi bacterium partial 16S ribosomal RNA
Rfam family: Bacterial small subunit ribosomal RNA
Source: RNAcentral
GAUGAACGCUGGCGGCGUGCUUAAUACAUGCAAGUCGAACGGAAACAAUAGCAAUAUUGUUUUAGUGGCGAACGGGUGAGUAACGCGUUGGUGACCUGCCCCGAAGAGAGGGAUAACAGUCCGAAAGGAUUGCUAAUACCCCAUGUGGUUGUUAGGAUUAGAAGCCUUUCAACUAAACGGAUUUAUUCGCUUCGGGAGGGGCCUGCGUCCCAUCAGCUAGUUGGUAGGGUAAUGGCCUACCAAGGCGAUGACGGGUAGGGGACCUGAGAGGGUGGCCCCCCA